RNAcentral lists this ribosomal RNA (77 nucleotides) under Tissierellia bacterium. The record is from RNAcentral. Lineage: Bacteria; Bacillati; Bacillota; Tissierellia.
CGAACACAGAAGUUAAGCCUCUCAGCGCCGAUGGUACUUGGGUGGAGACGCCCUGGGAGAGUAGGACGUUGCCAGGU